Molecule: ribosomal RNA, 424 nt
Filed under: uncultured bacterium
Lineage: Bacteria
Description: bacterial SSU rRNA
Rfam family: Bacterial small subunit ribosomal RNA
Source: RNAcentral
UGGGGAAUAUUGGACAAUGGGCGCAAGCCUGAUCCAGCAAUGCCGCGUGGAUGAAGAAGGUCUUCGGAUUGUAAAGUCCUUUCGGCGGGGACGAUGAUGACGGUACCCGCAGAAGAAGCCCCGGCUAACUUCGUGCCAGCAGCCGCGGUAAUACGAAGGGGGCUAGCGUUGCUCGGAAUGACUGGGCGUAAAGGGCGCGUAGGCGGCUUGGCUUGUUAGACGUGAAAUUCCUGGGCUCAACCUGGGGACUGCGUUUAAGACGGCUGGGCUGGAGUUCGGAAGAGGGUCGUGGAAUUCCCAGUGUAGAGGUGAAAUUCGUAGAUAUUGGGAAGAACACCGGUGGCGAAGGCGGCGACCUGGUCCGAUACUGACGCUGAGGCGCGAAAGCGUGGGGAGCAAACAGGAUUAGAUACCCCCGUAGUCC